Molecule: long non-coding RNA, 6007 nt
Organism: Ictalurus punctatus (channel catfish)
Lineage: Eukaryota; Metazoa; Chordata; Actinopteri; Siluriformes; Ictaluridae
Source: Ensembl
GGAGGAGUGCUCUUUCCUUUUUGUGCGACAACCGCCGGUCUGUCGCCACAAUACAUGUAAAUAGAAAUGUGAAAUAUACAUUUUAAAUAUAAAUGUACAUAUUACAAAUAAUGCAAAUCUUAAUUGUAAUUGUAGAACUUAAAUGUUUUAUUCGUAUGUUAAUUGACCCCGCCCUCACGGAAUGUGCAUCAUGUGAAAACACAGCACCGAUAGGUUUUCCAGGUUUGCAACAGACUGUGCUAGUUUUGGAACAAGGUUGAUGCUGCACAAAGCUGGUGGCAUUUUUGGGCUGAAUUAAAACAGUCCACAGCCUCCAAGACCUUGUUUCACAGCAAAUAAGUGGAAUUAAAUCAAACCAGUUUCUACAAACAUAUGCUAUAGCAAAGGGAAAAUCUGAAUGCAGACAGUGUAGACCUAUCUACAAUGUACAGAAUCAUUUCUGAUCUUUACGGAAGUCCAGAAAUGUCCAUACGUUUUGUUUUUUUCUUGUGAACUUAAAAUGGCAAAUGUUGUUUUCUCAAGAUCACAACUUAUUUUUCACAUUAUGUUGAAAUACAUGAUUAGGCAUGUAUUCUGUACUGCAUGGAUGAGUGUGAACAUUUAUAUUUUAAUCAGCGAGUGCUGCAGGAGGUAACAGGUGGUUUCUUCUUUCAUUUUCCAAAAUCAUGGGUCUGAGUCUGUGCUUGGGUGAGUGGGUGGAGUUUCAUUUUAUUUUUCAUCUUGCGGAUCAAUAAAGUGCAUCUCUCUAUCCUAGGGCACUGGCCCCCUGUGAAAUCCUGUUGGCCACCCCAGGUGCCCCCAUACCAGAUGUCUUGUAAUUGGCUUGGUUUUAUGCCAGUCAGUUUCUAACUGUUUCUGGUGAAAUUAGCAAUUGAAAACAUUUCAGUGCUCAAAUCUGGCGAUGGUCAUGUACAUCUGAUUACAUUAUCAAACGUAUGUAAAUGCAUAUAAAAAAAAAAAAAAAAGUUUUUAGUUUGUAGAUAUAAGGUCUGAUUGAUGUGCUGUCCAAAUAGGUGCCAUCAUUAGGCUGAAAAACAAAACACAUAUAAGAGAGAGGGCAGAAUCUUUAGAAGUGGCUAAAUCAACAAUUUGGUAAAUUCUUAAAAAGAAGGAAUGCACUGGUGAGCUCAGCAACACCAAAAUGCCUGGAAGACCAUGAAAGACAACUAAAGUGGAUUGGAGAAAUCUUGCCUUGAUGAAGAAAAACAUCUAGCCAAGUCAAGAACACUCUGGAAUAAUAAUACAAUAUGUUUAAUUUAUAUAGCACCUUUCCAGAGCUCAAGGAUGCUUUACAAUAGCAAUAUAAUGAUACCUAAACAAUGAACAAUCAUGGACAAACACAGUAUGUGAAAAAUCAACAUGAACAAUCAACCACAGAGAGUGAAAAACACAGUACAGAUAGUACAGUCAUAGAGAGAAAAUGCAUAGCAAUAGAUUAUGACACAUAACAUUGAAAACAGAUAUGUUUUAAGUUGGGAUUUGAACUCUGAGAUGGAAUGUGAUGCUGUGAUAAGUCAGAGGGAGUGAAUUCCAGAUUUUGGGUGUUACAAUACUAUGCCACCCAUAGUAGAGAAAUGAGAUCUAGGGACAGAGAGGAGUCUGAGUCCAGAGGACCUGGGAAAGCGGGUCGGGUUAUAGGGGAGGUUGUUUAGUGAUCCGUCAUAUUGGUUAGAUUUCAUCUGAUAAUUGCAACUUCAUAUGCUGCCAUACUGGUUUGGCUGAUGCUGCAUUUGGUGCUCUUGAGGGGUUGCAGUGUUCACUGGGCUUGUAGUAAUGUGAGAACUUUAGAGGAUGUCAGAAUAUUUUAGAGUUUCUUUUUGGGUGUCUAGAACUUGCGAGGCAGUAUUGGGCCUGUGUGCAGUGACUGCUCAUCCAUAGGUUCAGGUGAGCCCCACCAGCCAUUCAACAAAUAUUAAUCUCCAUGAAGUAUUCAUUCACAACUCCAUACAUUUCAAAGUCUGUUGAAAUACAAAUGACCUAUUUUGAGUGGCCAAUGAUUUUAAAAAUGUCACUAUUUGACAGAUAUAAGCAAAUGUUCCAUUGAUUUACUCACUUUUCUAGAUGUUGUGCAAUCAUGCACUCACUUCCCCACUUAGCUUCUAUAGAUGUAUUAUUGCACCUAUUAGGAACUGUAAAAAUAGGAACUGCAACAAGCUAUGAAUAAUUUUGAUUGCAACUGUAGAUGUGUUAAACAACUGGAAACAUGGCAGACUCUGUUUGAAGUGAGAGAAAAUAUUGGAACAUGAGACUGACUGAUGUUUCUUGUUGCCCAGGUGUGCCCUGUUAGAUCUAAAUGUCUUCUCUUGGUUUGAGCCCUGGUUUUCACCUGUAAAGACUGCAUUUGUUGUUAAUAAGGAUAAUCCAGCACAAAGACCAGAGAGCUUCCUAUGGGAGAAAAGCAAACCAUUUUGAAGUUAAAAAUUGAUCAGAGCCAUUGUACAAGCAUUGGGCAUAGCUAAUAGAAUAAUUUAGAAUUUCCUGAAAAAGAAAGAAACCACCGCUGUACUAACAACAACAGCGGACAUGGAACAGAUCAGCCAAGGUAAACAACAGCAGUUGAUGAAACAAACACUGAGUUUAAUCAACAACCUCCACAGGGCAGAGGUGAAGAUAUCACAAUCCACCAUUUGAAGAAGACUUUAAGAGCACAAAUAUAGAGGCCAUACCACAAGAUGCAAACCACUCAUCAUCAGUAAGUAUUGGAAGACCAGAUUGGAAUUGACAAAGAAAUACAGAGAUGAGCUCCAAAAGUUCUGGAACCAAGAUUAACCUCUACCAAAUUCAAUUCAGUUUUAUUUGUACCGCAAUUUUAACAAUGGACAUUGUCUCAAAGCAGCUUUACAAAAAUAUAUAAAUUCAGGAUAUAGAUUUUAAAUGUAUGAAUUUAUCCCUAAUGAGCAAGCCAGAGGUGACUGUGGCAAGGACCUAGACCUAUCAUGGCAAUUGUAGUCCUACACCAUCAUAGCAUCACUGUUCAGUGAUGUCCAAAGCCAUCUUCAUGGUUUUAAAGUGGUAUCAUCCUCAGUAGUCUCAAUGAUCUUUAGGCCUCACCAUGUGGGGCCAUCCUCAGCAGCAGCGAGUGACUUCCAAAUGAUGAGAACUCCAACCAGAAGUGGAGCCUCAGCAUGGAUUGAGAAGGUCUGGAGAUCAGAAGGGGUCAGGUUCACUGGCAUAGGAGUAGCAUGUGUAGCUGGACACACACAGAGACACAGAGAGAGAGAGAGAGAGAGAGAGAGAGAGAGAAUGAAUAUUGUGUGUGUUUAUGGUCCCAAAAUGAUUAAGAACAAUGUAUUUUGCAUGCAGAGUGAAAGCAGGGACUCUGGCAAGACUAACUAUGACAGCAUAAUUAAAAGGGAGAACCAGAAGGAACACAGGCAUGAGGAUGCCUGGGACAUAAGGCAGCCAGUCACUCAUGAGAGAGGGGGUGACAGCAUCCAAACAUCCCAGAUCUCCACAGUACUCUAUGCCAGUGAGCCCUCCCAAUCUGCUCCUUUAUCUAAGAAAAAAACUAUUCACAAAAGGCUUGACUAAACAAAUGUUUUCAGCCUGGACCUAAACACUGAGUCUGUGUCUGAGUCCUGAACACUAACUGAAAGGCUGUUACAUAACUGUGGGGCUUUGUAAGAGAAAGAUCUAACCCCUGUUGAAGCCUUCAAUAUUUGAGGUACCAACAAAUAGCGUGUACCUUUUGAUAGAAGUAGGCAUGGCAGAUCAUAAAAGACAAAUAUUUCGCUCACGUACUAUGGCCCAUUUAGUGCUUUAUAGGUCAAUAGUAGUAUUUUAUAAUCAAUGUGAAAUUUUACUGGGAGCCCAUGCAAUGUGGAUAAGACAGGGGUGAUGUAGUCAUAUCUUCUGGUUCUAGUAAGGACAUUUGCAGACUAUAAGGCAUUACAAUAAUCCAAUCUAGAGUUACCAAAGAGCUGGGAAGGUCAAAAUGUGGAGAAAGUUAGGAUUGGCUCAUGAUACAAGCAUUCAAGCGCACCUAUCAAGCACAGUGGAUUUAGUGUCAUGGAUUGAGCUUGCAUGGCUGCUUCUGUAAUGGGCUCACUAAUCUUUAUUGAUGAUGUAACUAAUGAGGCUAGCAGCAGAAUGAAUUCAGAAGUCUACAGAAACAUUCUGUUGGGUAAUUUACUGAGAAAUACAAUAAAUCUAAAUGUGAGGAAGUUCAUCAUGUAGCAAGACAAUGACCCAAAACACAAUCCUAACACAUCAGAGGAUUUCAUCAGGGGAUAAAAGUGGAAGGUUUUAGACUGACCAAGUCAAUCACCAGACCUUAACCCAGUUGAGCAUGAAGGUCACCUCUUGAAGAGGAGACUGAAGGCAAAAGACAAACAACUGAAAGAAGCUCCGGUACAAGCCUGAAAAAGAAUCACAAAAGAAGAAUGCAACAGUUUGGUAAUGCCAGUGGGUCAACGGUUUAAUGCAGUUAUUGCAAGCAAGGGAUAUGCAACCAAAUAUAAAGUGUUAUUUACUUAAAGUAAAUUAAAGGCUAUCUGCACCUACACCUAUACUCGCAUAAAAAUUGGGUGGUCUGCCACCAAACAUGCCAUGUUCUAUGUUGUUUAACACAUGUAGAUGUAAAUUUCAGGAAAUCAAAGCUGAAAUUCUGAUCUAUCGUAUCAUAUUCAUCUUUUGAUCUCAAAUCUAAAUGUCUUCAGUGUAUAGCAAAAACAAAUAUUUGGCCUUGCUGUUCCAAUAUUCUUUGACUGCUUUUAAGAUUUAUUAACAUCUGCACAAAGUGUGCUGCCAUCCUGUUAGUUGAGGGAUGGGAUGUUGCAGAACCGAUAUGCUUCAAAACGUUCAACUUGAGCAUCGCAAACUCCUCAGAGCAAAACUAAGGACCAUUGUGACCAACAAGGAUUUGGUGAACCUCAUGGCAACUGAAGAGACCCCUCAAGACUUUGGUGUUUUCUUCUAAUUGUUCUAUUUCUAAUUGUUUUGACCAUGCAGUAUACUUCUUGCCACUUGAUGUGAGCAUCUAUUAAUGUUAAAUUGAUGUGUAUUUUUUUUCUAUGGUCUAGUUGGCCAUAUCAUGGGGGAAGUGAUGGUAGACAUGGGGUGAUUUGUAUCCACUGGCAGUUUGAUCUGGCCAACAAUGCCCAACUAUCAGAUAUUACUGUGUGCAUUUGCUCAUUUGGCUUCAACUGUAACAGGAUACAACUAAGGAGUUGAAGGUUAAGGCUCUUGAUCAAGGACCCUACAAUGGCAGCUUGGUGGUGCUGAUAUCUGAACUCACAACCUUCCAGUUAGUAGCCCAAAGUCUUACUGACUGAGCCAUCACUUUGCAUGUAUGUUAAGCUAUUCAUCUGUGCCACUCCUGGGGAGCACACGUGCAGUUCUACAAAUACACAGGGGCAGAGCUUAAGAGGCACCACAAUACGACAGCCUCCACUGAAUUAAUUGCAGCAAGCCAUGAAGGGUGACAGCGCUUCUUCUGAUAUCCUUGUCAAUUUGAAAAUCCCCUGUAGAAACCAUGUCCAUGACCGUAGACAUUAUGGAGUUAGGAAGUGGGUCAUUCCUUUGCUACUUAUACUUGCAGAUUGGCUACUGAUUGACAUAGAACGUAUUCACUGUGUCUGUGACCUUUUUGGGUGUCAGUGUAAAUGGUAGAUCUGAUAGUCUAUCAGCAUUUGCAUACAAAACUGCUUUCCUAUACUCAUACUCAUGAGCAGCAAAUAAAAUUUCACACUCUUCCAUCCUAGCUGCAACUGUUGGUGGAUCACUUUUGUGGUGCUUAAGAUAGUAGUCAAAGGCUGAUGGACAGUAAUUAGAACCAACUACCUCCCAAACAGAUAAUGGUGGAAUUUGCUUCAAAAGCUAUACCCAGAGCCUUACACACAAUUUGAGUAUAGUUAUGUUCCCAUUUAUGAUGGGCAUUUUUCAUUAUUAGCCAAGAUGUGUGAGAUAAUGUCAUCCACAACAUGCAGUGAAGCAUCACAGGCAUUUAACCAAUGGGUAAAUUAUGGGUGUAAUGGAUCAGUACUCUUUCUGACACCAACAAUUUGAC